This 17970-nucleotide long non-coding RNA is filed under the name Zea mays. RNAcentral describes it as "long non-coding RNA (ZMAY_LNC002203)". The record is from RNAcentral. Lineage: Eukaryota; Viridiplantae; Streptophyta; Magnoliopsida; Poales; Poaceae.
UAUGGGUCAUAGCCUAGGAAAAAAUAAAUACAUGGAGUAGUAUGUAAAAUGCAAAUAAAUUUCUAUAAUCUCAAAUGAUGAGCCCAGACUUAAUUGUUUUAGUAGUGGUUGUUCUCCCAAAACUGAGCUUGAAGCCAAUCGAUUGUCCCCUUUUGCACCUGGAAAGCCUUUGCCAAGACAUCAUCCGAGAUAGGUGGCUUUGAUCCAAAAACUGCAUUCGCAAUAGUAAUAACUCCAGGGUUCUGGCUACUUAGUGCAGCGAUCGCGACUGCUGGCUUGUCAUGGAUCGGGUUGAACUGGAAGUGGAUGAGUCCUUAGGGGAACACAAAAACAUCGCCCUUGUUGAGGACCUUGGAAAAUAGCUUGUUGGUGUUGUCAGCUUGGUUGGAGGUGACAAAUCCAACGUAGAGUGUGCCCUCAAGCACGGUGAGGAUCUCAGUGGCACGCGGGUGGGUGUGUGGAGGAUUCUGACCUAAGGGUGCAUAGUCGAUGCGAGCCAACGAGAUGCCCAAGGUGUUUAGUCCAGGCAACUGCAUGACAUUGAUCAAAGUAACGUUGGAUCCCACCUUGCUCUUGGUGGUGUCCCUUGGUUGGUCAAGUUUUGCUGCCUUAAAGAAGUCAUCUGCGUUCACAGUCAUGGGGUCCUUGCAAACAAAUCCAUUCACAUUCACUGUAUGCAUAGACGAAGGCAAACGGCAAUUAGAUGGAGAACAUGACAUGAUUAGGCCAUACCUAGCUAGAAAUGCUUGUUGAACAAAUGAUCCUUAUUUGAUGUGGUAAUUUGUAUAAGAACACAACAUGACUCGAGCACACAUACCCGGAGAGUGUUUGUCGGCAACACAGAAGUCUUGGAGCGGGCUAGGAUCAGAGGCAAUGGCCUGAGAAGUGAGCAGUGCUAGAAAAGCAACGAGAAGGAGGUAGGUCGAGGCAGCCAUUUGGUGUUUGUGCUCUCUGAAUUCAGCAAUGACGCUUCUUAGCUUGUUGGUGCUUUGGGCAUGGGGAUGGUGAGGUUAUAUAUAGCACCUGCGUAGAGCAUGCAUGUACGUACCAAUGGCUGAAUGAGCCUUAAGUUGAACCUAUCAGCAGAAACAGUCUCUGGCUGCGCUUGAAUUAAUCUGCAGCUGCUGAAACAAUACAUUUGCCUUAUAGAUUCAACGUGCUGCUUGGUCGUCUCUUUGCUUCUAAAGAAAGUGUAUUCUUUCUUUCUUUCCAUUUUUGCGUUUUCAGGUGGCUGAUGGUGGACUGUGAUAGUUGCGUAAUAAACAAGAAAAAUGUUUCAUUGGACAACCGAGCUUUUAAUUUGCUACGUACAUAGAAAGAGUCAACUCACAAGAAAUAUAGAAAUAGUCAGCAAUGGGAUCGUCAGCUCCACACCUAAACCAACAUGUGCCCUACACGUUUUACUAGACCAAGCACUUGAUUGCUUCUUAGUACGUAGAUUUGUCAACGUCGAGACAGAGAAAACUGUGCUUUCUUUCAACUCAGCGGAGUUGUGCAUUGGGGUAGGCUCCUGGUGGUUGGGAUCGGGCCCUACAUUGCUCAGCCAGCGCGCGCUCUAUGCCGAUAGCGUCCAUGUUCGAUGCACCCCUAUACUUCCACCGCCGUGGAGGCGAAAACGGGUCAUGGUCCCCUGUGGCCCCGUGCGCUGCCUAGCUAGGGCGCCUCAAUCAGGCGCACCGUGAGGUUGGAUGGAUUUCUGUGACCGCAUGUCAUCACGAAGGAAUCCUUCUUCAAACCUGAAAAAAAUGCCCAAACUGUUUUUCCAUUGUUUUUCUGUUUGGUCGGUUGGAUUCAAGUUGGUUGAGACGAGCUGUACAUGACUAGUCUCGAAGGAAGGGGGGGGGGGGGGGGGGGUUGGUUUCAAAAGUAGGGCCGGACAUUCGGUCUAUUCUGAGUUUUGAAAUUUCGGGUUAUGAAAAAUGAGAACUGAAAAUUUUAAAAAUAAUUUUAGGAACCGAACCCGAAUAGACUCACAAUUUCGGCACCGAAUAGACCCGAAUAGUAGAGGCUAGUAUCUUUUGUUAAAAUAUAUACAAUUAAUAAUUAAUUGGAAGUACUAUUAUUACAACAAAUGACUAUAAAAAGUAGCAUACUGAGAUGUAUAUAUUAUCGUUAAGAUGAUAUUAUAAUUUUUAGUUAAUAAUUUUAUAAAUCAUAUAAUAAUAUCAUCACAUAUUAAGAACUUUUUUUUAUAUUUCGGGUUAUUCGGUCUAUUCGGGUUUUAAAGGUUAGGAACCGAACCCGAACCCAUACCUCGAAAUAUAGCACAUAUAGGAACCGAAUCCGAACCCAAAAACCCGAAUAGACCGAUAAUUCGGUCUAUUUGGGUUCGGUUUGGGUUCAGGUUUCGGUUUUAAAAUGCCUACCCCUAGGCAAAAGCGUCACAACCAGGCUGACACCAGGAAACUCGAGAACUUUCGACGGCCGCGAUGAAUUUCGGUGGCUAAACAGAGGCCGCUCUUGAUUAAGACUUUUUCUUGGAGAAGAACAUUAGUUGGGACUAGGUUAGCGGAGUGGAACGGAUUACGCUCACGUGUCGCUAAUAUUCUCUUAUCACAAGAGAUGAUUCUUUUCAUUGGAACUUGACCCAAUCCGGUCAGUUCUCGGUGAAAUCCCACUAUCAGGCUUUGAUUAAGACUAAAAUACCCAAUUUAAAUAAAAGAUUAUGGAAAUUAAAAACUCCACUUAAGAUUAAAGUCUUCUUGUGGUACCUUAGGAGAGGAGUAAUCCUAACUAAGGACAAUCUGGCCAAGCGUAAUUGGCAUGGAGACCCAUCUUGUUGCUUCUGUCAUAAACCAGAGUCAAUUAAGCAUCUAUUUUUUGAAUGUAGUUUAGCUCGUAUGGUAUGGGGGUAUAACCUACAUAGCCUUUGUGAUACGUGCACCUUCUAGUGUCUCUAAUAUGCUUGGUAGCUGGCUAGAGGGGUUUAAUCACAAUAUUAGAAACAUUGUUUUGCUAGGAGCGGCAAGCAUCUGUUGGGUUCUUUGGCUAACCAGAAAUGAUUUUGUUUUUAAGAGAAAAAUGAUCUAUUACCCGUUACAGGUUCUAUGUGCCAUUUCCCAUUGGCUUCGUACAUGAGCGUUGCUACAGAAGGCGGAACAACAAGCUAUGGUUGUGGAGGCUAUGCGUUUCUUGGCGUAGGUGGCCAAUGACUUUUUUCCUAGGCGCAUGGGUGGCGAUCUAGUUGUCGGAUUGGUUGUCACUUGAGAGUGUGUUACCUUGUUUAGGCUGUGUGCUUGUUGAUGAGCAGAGUCCAGAAGAAAUUUCAAUCCUUUGUAUCAACUUGAUGCGACACGUUGAAAUUAAUAAAGUCUUCCUUAUAAAAAACAAAGGCCGCCGAAAAUAAACCAACUAAUUUCGGUGGCGCCACCGAAAUUAGUACAUUAUUGUCGACGAUCUGGUUUAGCUACUGAAAAUAGAUUAAUUUCGGCGCCUGCGCAAACGACCGUAGAAAAUUAUGUUUUCCUUUCAUUGACAAUUUCUAGAUGCAGAAAAUUUAUCGUAUAAGGGUUUAGGGGACACGCUGCCAUGCUUGCUUUAUCUUCCUCCCAUCCAACCGCAGGUAACCCAGCCUUGUGUGCCACCACUAGCUCAAUCGGCCGUGCACUCCCUGCGCGCCGCCGCAUCUCCUACCCCCAUGUGGUGCUACACCCCCUACCCCCACACCCACGACGUUGUGCGCCCCUGCUUCUCCACAAGGCGCCACGUCCCUACUCACCCGUGCGCCUCCAUGUCCCUGCGUCGUCUCUGCACACUAACGAGCUGCCCCCCUCAUGCCACCGCAUUUCUGGACCCCACACGUUAUUGUGUCUCUGGCCCCCCAUGCGCCGCUGUGCCCCUGCUCCUGCCAUGUUGCCGUUACUAAACAUCUAUGUCAAAAUAUUUUCGUGCUAGACUAUGAAACGUGGGUGUUUCAUGGCAAGGAAUACACCACCGUUAUAGAAGAAGAGGAAGAUGGUAAUAGUGCAAGCAUCGAUAGGAUAGACGAGAUGCUUGAAGAUAUGCAACUAGAAAUCUAAACAUUGAGGAUGAGCCACCGUUAGAGGUUUAGGAGUUCCUCAGGCUCUUGAAAGCUUCGGAACAACCAUUGCAUGAAAACACAAAAGUGGCAUUACUUGAUUUUCUGUGCUGCCUAAUGGCUAUUAAGUCAAAAAAAUUCCUCCAACAAUUGUUACAAUGAGCUUAUAAAAUUAUUUUGGGAUGUCCUUCUGAUGCCUCAUAAGCUACCUAAAUACAUGUACCAAUCUAAGAAACUACUCAAAAGUCUUGAUAUGAAUUACUAGAAGAUUGAUGUCUGUCCAAAUAACGACAUGCAUUUAUGAAAGGGGCACGAGUAGGGAUGUAAUCGGAUUGAAUACAGACGAAUAUCACUGAAACCAUAUUUGUUUUUAUAUUUUUAUUUGGAUUCGAAUUCGAAUACGGAUAGCUUCGGAUUUGAAUACGAAUACAGAUGUUCUCGGAUACAAAUACAGAUAGUUAUGUGUCAAAUACGGAACUAGUCGGACAUGAAUAUUGUCGGUAACAAUUUUUUUUGUCGGAUAUAGUGUAAGACAUCAUUCCACACAUAUCAUGGUUGUAAUCAUGUAUCCACUCCUUAAGUCCAAACAUUUUUUAGUAUUAUAUGUGUACAUAUGUCACAUUUUUUUGUAAAAAUUCAUGAAUUUUUAGGCUAUGUGCGUAUUAUUAAUUUAUUUUAAUCAUCAAAAUGCAAAUAAGUUACCAAGAAUAAUAAACAUUCUAUAAGAAUAUAACCUCAAGUCUCCACAUGAAAAUGAUAAGGUGAACUUGGAUACUUAUAGUGAUUUCACGUGUAAUUCACCCAACAAGUGAAAGUGAAAUGAAAGAAACACUAUCAUAUUGUGGAUUUUAUGGUCCAAAUAUUUUGAAGGAUUAUAUGUGGACAUAUGGUAUGCCUCCAUAAAUUUUCAUGAAUUUUUGAGGCUAUUUGUGUAUUAUUAAUUUCUUUCUACAAAAAAUCAACAAAAUGCACACAGCUAUCCGGAUAAGGUAUCCAGAUAUCCGAGAAGAUUUAUCCGAGAAAAUAUCCAGAUAUUCAAUAUCUGACGGAUAUCGGACAUAUUGUAUUCGAAUUCGAUAUCUGAAUAAAAUAUCCGUAUUUGUAUCCGUUAUCCGAAAAAAGUUCGGAUAUCCGAAAAUUCCAUCCGAACCAGUGUUCAUCAUCUUCGAAUCCGGAUCCGGACGGAUAUUUUUCGAACCAUAUUACAUCCCUAGGCACGAGAAAGAAAAGAAGUGCUUGAAAUUUGGAAGAACAAGGUAUGUCAGGGAAAUAAUGAUAAUGGUAAAAUAAUGGCAAUGGAGGUUGCUCAUAAGCAACUUUGUUACAUGCCCAUUUCACCUCAACUAAAAUGAUUGUUUCUCUCCAACAGAAUGACCUUGCACAUGCGAUGUCACAAGGAAGGUGAGAGGGAGCACAAAGAAGUGUUGGUCGACCCUUCAAAUGGAGGCACAUGGAAGGAUCUAGACAACUUUGAUCCAGGGUUUGCUAAAUAAGCAAGAAAUUUUGUAUUGGGCUAGUGACUGAUGGAUUCACACAGUUUGGUCAAUCCACCACAUCCAAUUCAUGUUGACCCGUUGUAAUUCCAUAUGACCUUCCUCCAUCUCUUUGCAUAAAGUACGGAUUUAUAUUUAUAUGCCUCAUCAUACCUGGUCCGGAUCACCCAAGACCAAAGCUCAACGUGAUGCUAAAACCCUUGUUAGAAGAGUUGGAAGAACUAUGAAGAGGAAUCAAAGCUUAUGAUAUGUUCAAAAAACAUAAAUUCACCCUUCGUGUUGCAUAUCUUUGGUCAAUUCACGAUUUCUCUGCCUAUAGCAUUUUCUCUGGUUAGAGCGUUCAUGGUAAAUUGGCUUGUUCGAUGUGUGCUCUGAACAUUGUGUCACACCCGGUUUUGGAAGGUAAACCGAAUGCGAACCAUGUACAUGCCAGGAUCAGAAAUUCACGGUGAUUACAUAAAUGACUCAUCAUAGCACAAUGCUUUGAAUAACAAUAAAGAGUAAGUAAUAAUAUUAAAGACUAGAGUCAUUUACAUAAUAUAAAUCAAAGUGCACAUAAUAGAAACGUAGCCAACGUAAAUAAACCCACCACAGGCAGCUGACUGGGUGAGGUCGCUAGCCUAAUCCUCGAACUCGUCGAAGUCCUAGAACUCCUGGAGAUAUGCCUCGAUGCCUUCUUCUUCUUCUUCUUCUUCUUCUUCUUCUUUACCUUAGCAUAGGUUGCACCAAAGGCAACCUGGUGUUUUGGGAAAGCAAGGGUGAGUACACAUCAACGAACUCAACAAAUGUCCUGUUUGGCUGAGGUGGACUAGCUUCAUGUGGGGUUAGGGUCAAAGCAGUUGCUUUUAGUUAGUCAGGUAUUUAUUAUUAGUGAGAGCCAAAUUUUAGCAAUAACCAACCCGUGAAUCAUUUCCUCGUCGAGGAACAUCAUUAUCAUCAUCGAAACAAAAACCAUUAAUAGAAUCAUUGCAUCUUGAACCAUCUGUAUCUCUAAUCAAAGAGGAUCCCAAGGCCGCUCUUAACCGUGAGCACGACUGAUAUACCAGUUUCAUUCCUCUGCAGUGGUCGCACACUUUACCCACGAGUAGUGAUUCCCUUCGUGCCCGGGGAGAGCUACUCCCCAUUGACCACUACCUAGAUGGCCUGACAGGGUAUCAGUAUGUAGCCUUUACAAAGACUCCUCUAGUGCAUAGCUGCUCGUUAGGUUUCGCCAGUCGUACAAACGCAGUACACCUCCCCAAGGUGGGUGACUAACAAAACCAAAUCGAAUGAACCUUUGCACCCCCCUUAGCAGAGCAAGCACUACACCCCGGCCCCCAUUGACGGCCCUCCGGCAAAGCCAACUACACCCCGAGGUUCAUUUAAUUAUUCAGCUAAGGGCGUCCCAUUCCGCCCUCAUGGUCGCACUGUUAUCCCAAGUGGUCACUCAACGAACAGAUCCUUACGGAGAGGUACUCAGGAAAACAGCCUAAGACCCCUAAAGUAUCACAAGAUCAAUAUCGGGAUAACAUCAUCGUAUCAUAAAUAUUCACAUCAUAUUCGUUUAUUAAGUUAAAGCAAUAACAUAAAGCUAACCAUAGUAACCCAAAAAGGUAAACAAUGAUAAGGUAAAUAUAGACUAGUCAAUCCUUAGGUUUCAAUAAUGUAAUGCAGGACAAUGCAUUAAAAGUGAAUGGGACAUAAUAGGUCAGAUGAUACUUGCCUUCACCAAACAGAUGCUCAGGGUCUUCAACCUUGUGAAACUCGAAGAGCCUAAUCAUUUGGUCGCCAACGCUUGAUCGUCGAUCCCUCGUAGCUCAAAAACGGAUCACAAUCUAAUCGCAACGCGAAGCGAAGACAAACAGUCACAAGCAAACAAACAUAGAUAUGCAUAAGAACAUUACACUAUGCCAAAGAGAACAUAAUAAAAACAUGCAAUACGAAAUAGAGCUCACCACUACGAUCACGCAAGGAAAAGAAACGCGAUAGUAUGAGCUACGAUCGAGAGGUUAUGACGUUUACACUACGCAAGUAAUAGUCAGGACAUUUAAUUCGAUAUUAUCAAAUAUAAAUUAUAACUGCUAUUUAGUUUUGAUUAAAUCCGAUACACUAACAACUGUCAAAUAAAUAAGUAAUAUAAUUAGCACGAGAGAUUCUAAGCGAGGCGAGUUUACGAUGCGCGAAACGGAACGACAGCAUGCAACCGACGCGCGGACACGCGUGACAUAGCAUGCUGACGACACAUGAAACAGUGCGCGCGACCAACGCGAAUGACGUGCGAAUCAGCACAUCACCACUUGUGGAACAGCACGCGCGACAUGCAAAAAAACUAAAUAGGUGAUGCAUUUAUACUAAACAAAUAUUAAAUAACUAAAAAGUAGUUAAGUUAAUAUUAGCCAUGUUAAUAUUUAUUAUAAAAGUGCAAGUUGAACACUACACAUUUAAUCUAAUUGGAAUAUUAAUCUAAUAAAUAUUAGUCGAGCGAACCUUAAGUUAAUUAUCUAAAAUAUAUGACAUGACAAAUUAACGUUACUAACAUGAGUGAUUAUAAGGUGAAAAUAAAUUUAUUAUCACGUGCAGCCGCGCGACACACGUGAUUGACACGCGAGAUUCGUGCUAACGACGCGCGGCGAGGCAAGCGACACGUGCAAAUGGCACACAUGACGCACGCACACGACGUGUGACAACGCGUGCGAACGACACACGCAAAACAACGUGUGCGAAAUAAUCGAGUUAGAGCUGUGGCUAUGAGUGCUACAGAGGGGUUGGGUCACGCACGAUAGUGCGCGACACGCACGAGUCAACGCGAACAACACGAUGACACGCAAACGAUGUCGCGCGCGAACAACAACAAACAAAUAAUUAAUGAAAAGUAUUUUAGCUGGUAUUAAUCACGUUAAUUAACAUUUAUAUUUAUAAAAGCACGAGUUAAAACUAUAGACUCGUUCUAAUUAAAUUGUUAUUUUAUUAACCCUCGAACAAACCAAUAAUUAAUUAUUCAACUAAAACAUGUGACACGACGUCCAUGAGCGCCACACGUGGGAACUGCGUGCGCGACAACACGUGCACCAGACACGCGGCGCGAACAAACAACGACGACGUGCAAACAGCGCGUGACCCGCGAAAACGGCGCGACAUGCGAAAACUACUAAACUGCGUCGUUUUCUUAUAUUAACCAAGUGUUAAAUAUAAUAUUCAAUUCAACAUCAACAUAUUACCAGCUAUCUACAAACACAUAUUUAAAAUUAUAAACUAGAUUCGAUUGAACUAUUGUUUUAAUAACUGACAACUAAACAAUUAAUCAAGUGAUUAACACUAACGAUAUGGCGAAGUGAUGUAAUUAAAGCGAGCAAAUAACGGUUUACCGAGUGACGACGAAGCGAGCGAGCUACACGCGCUACACACGCAAACGACGCGCGCGAAACACGAUAAAACUAAAUACUCGUCGCAUUUAUAUUAAACAAAUAUUAUAGCAAAACAUUUGAGUUACUAUUACGCCGACAUGGAUUUAUAAAGCGUAGGUUAACUACUAUAAAUUACUUUAAUUGAAAAGUCUAAUUAAUUAACAUUAGUUAAACAAAAAUAUAAUUAAUUAUUUAAAACACGCGACAUGGUGAAACAAGUUUACUAACACGUAGACGAUGCUCACCUCACAACGACGGCGGACGGCCAGACGAGCUAGUGGCGAGGCACGAUGACGUGCUAGGCGCAUGAUGCGCCGCAUGAGCAACGGCGAGGCUGCCGCUACGCCGCGCAGACUGCGUCGGGGCUGCUGCGGGCACGGACGACGACGACAACGACGACACGACGGGUGGCUCUUCACAGCGGCACUGGCAAGGCGCGCAGCACGGCGGGACGAAGGUUAGCGCAACACAGGCUAUCUCGGGUACUGCUUAAUGAGGGCGAGCGCGCGUCGGACCGAGCCACCGAGCUGGCCACGCUCAGUGCACUGUGGCCGAUCCGCCGGGCUGCCGUGCCAGGCCGCCGAGGCUGGCUACUGGCCGGCCGCGCUGGAAGGCACAGAGCAGGCACUCGACCAGCUCGACUGCGAGCCCGCGCAUAGGGGGCAGGGCGGCUGUCCGGGCCACCGCGCUGGUGCCCGCAAGGGCGAGGGGAGAUCUCGCCGAGGCACGGAGGUUGAGAGGCUCAUGCGAUGGCGGACAACGUAGCAGAGGCUGUGCGAGGGGAAGAGAUGAGGAGGUGGGCGAUUCUGGCGUCCGAGGGAGAGGGAAUGGAUAAAUUGCCGAACUGCUUACGAGGCGUGGGCGGUUGGGGAUUUUUGGGGAAGAAGAGCAGGGCCUCCAUCGGCGCUGGGACGACUGCAUUGAAUGCGCGUGCGUGCAGAUCGCGUGAGCGCGCACCACGCGGGGGGAGAGAGAAUGUGGGGCGCGCGGGCUGAUGCUGCGUCUGCACGACGCGCGCGGCGUGUGGGACGUGGCGCGGUCUGGCGCCUGGGCCUCCUGGUGGGCGCGCGCUAGGGGCUAACGCGGGCAGCGGCGAUGGGCAAGCUGGGGAGCGGGGAGGCACGUAGCUGGGCCGCGCCCAUGCGCACAAGCGGGCCAACAGGGAAAAAAGGCUGCGGAGCGCGGGCUCGGGCGUAGAGCUGGGCGCCUGGGCCCUGCGGUGCUAGGCCGCACGGGGGAAAGAGGGGGGUGGAGAGGGUGCAUGGGUCGACCGAGAGGGGGUUGUCCAGUUAGGCUUUCUCCCUUUAUUUCUUUGUUUCUUCAUUUUCUUUUUCUCUUUUCGAUUUCCUACUAUUUCAAAUCGAAUUCGUUACUAAAUGCAUGCUUCACAAAUUCACUCAUCAAACAAAACGAAAGCAUGCUCCAGCAUGAUGCGACAACCAAAGCACUGCUAGGUUUUACUUUACUAGGCUUACACAUCGAUAUAAAAUAAAAAAAUAUUCUUCACAAUUUAGAAAAAAGAAAAGAAAAGUAAGAAAAAGAGAGAGUAACACCUGAAUUUGGUGGAUAUUAGAAAAUAAAUUUUAUACCCCGAAAUUCAGGGUGUUACACAUUGCUAGCGAUAAAAAACUACAAGUAUUCUUCUUUGAAUGUUGUUAGUUCGAUAACAUUCAUUGGAUUCGAUAAAACCAGUUUGGAAUGGUUCAAAUCCAACAUAGGGAACGCUAUCAGGCAAUGACAAUUUUGUCCCUGUGCAUCAAGACGAGCAAGUGUAUUAUUUGUCGUACCCAUGUCAAUAGCUAAAUACAUGGCAGGAAGUAUAUAAAGUGAAUCCUCAUGAAUAGUUACACACUCCUAGUGAUGUUGCUUAUUGUAUUAAGGAUGGGCAUGUUGGUGAGGUCUAUCAAGAAGAAACAUUGCCAUGUCCUUUGAUAUCAAGCCUAGUGCAGCGCUUGGUUCUUUAGUUGGCACUAGUGAUGAUGCCAUUGUCCCCCAAAUUGAAAUGGUGACCUAUAAGGAAACAAUGUACUUUAGGACGGAUGAGAGUACCUAAUAAUGAUCAUGAUAAACUUUUUGUUUAAAUUUCUAGAAAUAGAAUCAUACGUGCAAUUUGUAUUCUAUUUUUAGUUCUUAUUAUAUUUUGUGUUUAAUUUUAUUAUAAUUGUUGGGCUAGCUUCUACUAUUUUCUUUUAACGGGAAGAAUUAUAAGUUCAAGUCAGUCUUUAGCAAGGCAAGCAAGAGCCUUUUCCAGGGGAGUCCUUCUAGCACAGCUCGACGAGAGGCUUUGUUAUGAUGUAGGCAGGAAACACUAGAAAGAACAAAUGAUGAAGAUGAGAGAGAUGGGGAGAUGAGGCAGAGCAGGAGCACCAAUGUCACACCCGAUUUUGGAAGGUAAACCGAAUGCGAACCAUGUACGUGCCAGUUUCAGAAAUUCACGUACACAACGAUUACAUAGUUGGACAUCAUUACACAUUGAUCAAAAUAAUAGCGGAAAUAAGUACUUUAUUACAUCAUGAUGUCCAAGACAUCCACAAAGUCAUUAACUUAAGUCAUAAUCAAAGCACUGAAUGAAACACAGUACGAUAAGGCCUUCACAGGCAGCUGACUGGGGGUUUCCACUAAACUAAUCUAGAACUCGUCGAAGUCCUAAAACUCCUGAAAGUCCUCCAUGUUGCCUUCAUCUUCUCCUGAGCACUGAUUACAAUGGGGACAACCUGGGGUUUGGUGUUUUUAAGUAAGGGUGAGUACACAUCAACAUACUCAGGAAAUGUCCCGUUUGGUUGAAGUGGACUAGCUGUAUGUGGGGUUAAGGUUAAAUAAGUUGCUUUUAGUUGAUCAGGUAUUUAUUACUAGUAGAGAGCCAAGUUUUAUCAAUAAUCCCAAGUUAUUACCCAAAUGUCACUCCCUUCAAGAGGAACUACCAGAAACCAUAACCAUAAUCCUCAACAUUAAGCAUCAUCAUAAAACUAUCCAGAGUAACUCUAAUCAAAGGAGCUCCCAAGGCUGCUCAUAACCGUGAGCACGACUGAUAUACCAGUUUCUAACACUCUGUAGAGGUUGCACACUUUACCCAUGAGUCAUGAUCCGUUCCCAACCUGGGUUGUACAGACUCGAUCUUCACUACUGAGGUGAAUGGCCACAGAUUCACUAUGUAGCCUUUACAAAGAUUCCCCUGGUGUGUAGUCGGCCGUUAGAUUUUGCCAUUCGUACAAACACAAUACUCCUCCCUAAGGUGGGUGAUUAACAAAACCAAAUCGAAUGAACCUCGGCACCCCCUUAGCAGAGCAAACACUAUGCCCCGGCCCCCAUUGACGGCACAACGGCGAAGCCAACUACACCCUAAGUUCCUCCAAUUAAUUAGCUAAGGGCGUCCCAUACCACCCUCAUGGUUGUACUGUUUUCCCGGGUGGUCAUCUAGUAAACAGGUCCUUACGGAGAGGUACUCGGGAAACAACCCUAGCCCCCUAAAGUAUCAGAUGAUCAUAAUCAUAAUCAAGAUAUCAUCAUAGUAUCAUAAAUGCUCUCAUCAUGUUCAUUGAUUAAAGUAAAGUAAUAGCAUAAUACUAAUCAUAGUAACCAAUUCCCAAAGGGUAAACAAGGACAAGAAAAUAGAACACUAGUCAAUCCUUAAUUUGAUCAUGGUAUGCGGGACAGUGAAUUAUAAAGUAAGUAGGACAUAAUGGGUCAGAGGACACUUGCCUUCACCAGGUUGCUGCUUAGAGAAGUCUCCUGCAACACACUCGAAAACCUUAGACUGCUCGUUGUCUACGCAAAACAAUCAUUCAUUCAACACACUUAGGGAGUAACAAAGAACAGUACACCAAACAUAUGCAACAGAGUAAACAUAGGUUCAGUGGAAAAGUACAAACACACAAGUGAACUCUAGGUUCUAGGGUAGAUCACUAUGUUUAAAGGUCUACUGUUCUCCAAUUACUGCCUAUCUCAGUAGAUUACUUACCUAACUGGGUCUAUCUUAGUAAAUUACUUAUUUAGAUAAAGUUAUUCCAGGGAUGGGACCAUACAUUAAUUGAAAUUAAAUCACAUUCAUUAGAGUUUCAAUUUUAUUUUACCUUUUGUCGGGAACCAUAAUUAGGGGUACCCUCAAGACGCCUAAUUCUCAGCUGGUAACCCCCAUCAGCAUAAAGCUGCAAAGGCCUGAUGGGUGCGAUUAAGUCAGGGAUCAGUCCAUACGAGCGACUCGAUCACGCCUCGCCCGAGCCUAGCCUCGGGCAAGGGCAGCCGACCCCGAGGGAUUUCCGUCUCGCCCGAGGCCCCCCUUUAACGGCGGACACAUCUCCGGCUCGCCCGAGGCCUUGCCUUCUCUCAGAAGCAACCCUGACUAAAUCGCCGCACCGACCGACCGAGUCGCAGGAGCAUUUAACGCAAAGGUGGCCUGACACCUUUAUCCUGACGCGCGCCCCCCGGCAGAGCCGAAGUGACCGCCGUCACUUCGCUGCUCCACUGACCGGUCUGACAGAAGGACAGCGCCGCCUGCGCCACUCCGACUGCAGUGCCACUUGACAGAAUGAGACCGACAGGCAGUCAGGCCCUGCCAAAGGCGCCAUAGGAAACUCCGCUCCGCCCGACCCAGGGCUCGGACUCGGGCUAAGCCCCGGAAGACGGCGAACUCCGCUCCGCCCGACCCAGGGCUCGGACUCGGGCUAAGCCCCGGAAGACGGCGAACUCCGCUCCGCCCGACCCAGGGCUCGGACUCGGGCUAAGCCCCGGAAGACAGCGAACUCCGCUCCGCCCGACCCAGGGCUCGGACUCGGGCUAAGCCCCGGAAGACGGCGAACUCCGCUCCGCCCGACCCAGGGCUCGGACUCGGGCUCAGCCCCAGAAGACGACAAACUCCGCUUCGCCUGACCCCAGGGCUCGGACUCCGCCCAGGCCUCUGCCGAACAAUCUCCGCCUCGCCCGAACCAGGGGCUCGGGCUCGGCCUCGGCCAUGGAAGACAGACUCGACCUCGGCUUCGGAGGAGCCUCCACAUCGCCCGACCUAGGGCACAGGCCCGCCACGUCAAUAGGAAGCGCCAUCAUCACCCUGCCCCGAGCCGACUCGGGCCACAGAGAACAAGACCGGUGUCCCAUCUGGCUCGCUCCGCCAGAUAUGCAAUGAUGGCGCCCCGCUAGCCCUGUGACGACGGCGGCUCUCAGCUCCCUUACGGAAGCAGGGGGACGUCAGCAAGGACUCAACCGCUCCGACAGCUGUCCCUCCGCCAGGCUCCGUUGCUCCUCCGACAGCCACGACAUCACACCAGCAGGGUGCCAAGAUCUCUCCGGCUGCCACAUUGGCAUGUACUUAGGGCGCUAGCUCUCCCUCCGCUAGACACGUAGCACUCUGCUACACCCCCAUUGUACACCUGGAUCCUCUCCUUACGCCUAUAAAAGGAAGGACCAGGGCCUUCUUAGAGAAGGUUGGCCGCGCGGGGACGAGGACGGGACAGGCGCUCUCUUGGGGCCGCUCGCUUCCCUCACCCGCGUGGACGCAUGUAACCCCCUACUGCAAGCGCACCCGACCUAGGCGCGGGACGAACACGAAGGCCGCGGGAUUUCCACCUCUCUCACGACCCAUCUCCGACCACCUCGCUCUCCCCCCUUCGCGCUCGCCCACGCGCUCGACCCAUCUGGGCUGGGGCACGCGGCACACUCACUCGUCGGCUUAGGGACCCCCCGGUCUCGAAACGCCGACACCUUUAAUACAUAUCAUGUAACCUUACACUAAUCUAGAGACUAACCACAAAAUUGAGACAUGCAAACAGUGAAUGAAUAUAAUUUAAACAGAUAGAGAAUAACAUUAUGAACAUUUUGCAUUUUGAACCACCAAAUUUGGAGUUCAUAUGCAAAAAUAUGAAAUUUACAAGUUUUAGAAUUCAAAACACUAAAUUAAACCUAUUUCUGUGAUUAAAAUAAAGUCUAGGGGCCUCUCUGUCAGGGGCCUGGGCGCAAGAAAACAGGACGACGGGUUGAUUCUUGGAAACCUGAGGGGUUCUUUAACAAAAUAACCAAGCAAAGGGUUACGUGGCGUUCUUGGCCAUCCGAUCACAGAUCAACGACCAGCAUCAGAUCCGAGGGUGAGCAGGCGCGAGCGAGCGCUGACAAGUGGGCUAGAUCAGGUUGUGGCCCAGAGUGAGGGCAGGCUGGCCGGUGGGGCCCAGGGGUAGGGGCGGGCGCUCGAACCGGUAUCUUGGGAUUCGAGCCGUAAGAUCAGGAGCGUGCGGUUGGGAUCGGGUGUGAGGGGGGUUUAACGGUGGCGGCUGGUGUUGCUCCGUCCUUGGCGGUGAAGCCACCGGAGCUAAGGCAGGCGCAGCCUCUAGGGGGUCUGGGGUCACCAGAGUUGGCCAGGAUCGGUGAGGGGGGCCCGACAAACUCGAUGGCGUGGUUUCGGUUGAGAGAUCAGGCUGGAGGCCAGGGAAUCACAGAGGGGGCGCUCCAGGCGGGUUGGGGUUACUCCAAUGAGCAAUCACGACCUCAUGGAGGAGGAAUCGGGUGUGCCGAGGCCAGUGCCAGCUCCGGUGAGGGAGAGGGAACACCUAGAGCCAAAACGUGAGCACAUGACGGGGCUAAAUUGAUCGGACACCGUGCAGGCGCGGCGAACUAGUGCGACAGAACUCCAGUGAACGCGGACUCACUACGACAAGGCAAAAUCAGGGCAGCCAGAGCACGGGAAAAGGUUCCUCACCUCAGGACAGCGCUCGGGGAGGCUCGACGCGACGUCUGGAGCUCCGGAUGGACGGCACGACGAGCGCGCUUCUCCGGUGAGCUCGGGCGGUGGCGACUAAGCGCGAGAGGGGCUGAGAGUGGGCAAAAUGAGGUAGGGGAAGAGAGUGGGUGCGGGCAAGGCUCAAAAGGGAGCUGGGGGACGUGGGUAGGCGACAUGGCCGGGUUUCUCGGCGGGCGUGCGCGCGGGUCAACGACUGUUGGAACUUGCUAAUCCGGGGACAGCAAAAUCCAAUAGGAAGCAAAUAGAAUGGUUUGAUGCCUCUAAACACAAGGCGUUAGGGCAACAAUGUUCUCUCUUUUCGUCCCCCGCAUUGGCACAGUGCGAGGGUAUUUAUAGGUAACUAAGGGACCGCCCGGCCCUGCCAAGGAUAAUUAGGCCCUCAGUUACCUGGGUUAUCCUCGGAAUAUUCCCUCAUGGGGAGGUUACAACGUGUCAUUACAACAUACUUUAUUACAGACGUGGCCCAACCCGCUCUGCCCACGCGGGCGACCUACGGGCGGGGCCUUACAACAUGGGUCGGAUUGUACACGGGCCCCUUCUUGCAUUGAGGGAGACAAAGCCUUGGGGUCUUCGCAGUCUUGGUCAUCCAGUCCCCGAAAUCUUCGAUGGUCUUCGCCUCGGCUCAUCAGAUCGAAGAAGACACUUGGGCCUUCGCAUGGGCGACGUCCGCGGGCCUGGCUAGCGGAGCCUGCUGAUGGGGCCUUCGAUCUGUGAUACAUCGACGUGGAAAUCCUCGAGCGAGGGGGGCGUGUUCGCCUUCGUCCCAACAACGGUGGUUCAUGGGGAGGAUGGAGCUGACAGGGCGGCCCCAUGACGCAGAGAGAGAGAGAGAAGCACGCAUGAGGGGGAACAAUUCAACAUUGACAGUUCAGGCCCGCCUGGCAGAGGGAGAGUGGGGGCGGGCGCGCGAGGGCGAGCGAUGCCGACAGUUCAGGACCGCCUGGCAGAGAGAGAGAGAGAGAGAGAGAGAGAGAGAGAGAGAGAGAGAGGGCGGGUGCGAGCGCACGAGGGUGAACUUGUUGAAUUAAUUAAACUUGUUGAAGUUAUGUGAUUAUGAUAUAUAGUGGUUUUGGUUAUCUAUGUGAUGAAAUGUGUGUAUGCAUGUGAUAUAUGUGAUGAAAAUGUGUGUAUGUAUGUGAUAUAUGUGAUGAAAUGUGUGUUUGAAUAUAAUGUAUAUGAAUGAAUGUAAAGAGGAAAUAUUUGUUUCCUGCAUAGAAUAAAUUUCGGUGGCCACCUUUUUUUUGGUGGCCUCGAGAUGGUUGCCGAAAUUUAUUGCAGACCCAACUAUUUUCGGUGGCCGUGCAAGCCACCAAAGUUAAGCACCUUACUUUCCGUUGCCUGGUUUCUAGCCGCCAAAAUUAAAUGCGGCCAUCGAAAAUAGAUGCAUGGUGCCAUGGGUAUUUUUGGCAGCGGGUGUCAAAGCCACCAAAAAUUAAUUAUUCUCGGCGACAACCACCAAAUUGAAGCUAUGGCUUACUAUCGGCGAAACACCAUCAACACGCCGAAAAUAGAGUAUUACUGCCGAAAAUUACCUAUUUUUCUAUAGCGUGAUAGCAGGUGAUCUUCAUCAAGGACUAUUGCAAGCACAUGAAGGUCAUGUCCGACUCUUUACGGAAUGUUAGACACACCAUUUCUAAGCCCCAACUAGCGCUCCACCUCCUUUGUGACAAUAGUAAUCCACCCUUGAGAUGUGAUUUUAGAGGACGAUUUGUUUAUGAUUUUCAUCCCUGAUAAUGGAUGGAACUUUAAGGGUGGUCUAAUUUCGUUAAUUGCUCUUACAAAAAAAAUCUAGAAAUGGUUCAAAAGAUACGGUGUAACAAGACAUAUGGCUUGUUAUAUGACCUGUAGUCAAUUUUAUAGAUGACUUACUAUGUGAUUCGUCCCAAUAAAAUGGGAAACGAUAGAGUGUCAUAUACAUUACAUUCACUUUCGAUUAAGGACAUGGUGGUAGAGCCACACUAGGAACACAAUUACAAUUAUAGUUCAGAAACAUAGAACAUUUAUUUUAUUAUGGGUCGUAGCCUAGGAAAAAGUAAAUACAUGGAGUAGUAUGUAAAAUGCAAAUAAAUUUCUAUAAUAUCAAAUGAUGAACCCAGACUUCAUUGUUUUAGUAGUGGUUGUUCUCCCAAAACUGAGCUUGAAGCCAAUCGAUUGUCCCCUUUUGCACCUGGAAGGCCUUGGCCAAGACAUCAUCUGAGAUAGGUGGCUUUGAUCCAAAGACUGCAUUCGCAAUAGUAAUAACUCCAGGGUUCUGGCUGCUUAGUGCAGCGAUCGCGACUGCUGGCUUGUCAUGGACCGGGUUGAACUGGAAGUGGAUAAGUCCUUGGGGGAAUACAAACACAUCGCCCUUGU